RNAcentral lists this ribosomal RNA (300 nucleotides) under uncultured Sulfuricurvum sp. Its description in RNAcentral is "bacterial SSU rRNA". It matches the Rfam family "Bacterial small subunit ribosomal RNA", at positions 496 to 795 of the family's 1533-position model. The record is from RNAcentral. Lineage: Bacteria; Pseudomonadati; Campylobacterota; Epsilonproteobacteria; Campylobacterales; Sulfurimonadaceae.
GGUAAUUGCGGUCCAUCGGGGGUGGGAAAGCGGAGGAUGGUUGCGUUAUGCGGAGUUAGUGUGUGUAAAGGGUGCGUAGGCGGCCUUAUAAGGCAGUGGUGAAAUCCUAUCGCUUAACGAUAGACGUGCCAUUGAUACUGUAGGGCUGGAGUACAGAUGCCGUUGGCGGAAUGUGUCAUGUAGCGGUGAAAUGCAUAGAUAUGACACAGAACACCGAUUGCGAAGGCAGCUGACGAAACUGUAACUGACGCUGAUGCACGAAAGCGUGGGGAUCAAACAGGAUUAGAUACCCGAGUAGUC